This 2760-nucleotide ribosomal RNA is filed under the name Escherichia coli. RNAcentral's name for it is "bacterial LSU rRNA". It matches the Rfam family "Bacterial large subunit ribosomal RNA". Lineage: Bacteria; Pseudomonadati; Pseudomonadota; Gammaproteobacteria; Enterobacterales; Enterobacteriaceae. The record is from RNAcentral.
ACACUAUCAUUAACUGAAUCCAUAGGUUAAUGAGGCGAACCGGGGGAACUGAAACAUCUAAGUACCCCGAGGAAAAGAAAUCAACCGAGAUUCCCCCAGUAGCGGCGAGCGAACGGGGAGCAGCCCAGAGCCUGAAUCAGUGUGUGUGUUAGUGGAAGCGUCUGGAAAGGCGCGCGAUACAGGGUGACAGCCCCGUACACAAAAAUGCACAUGCUGUGAGCUCGAUGAGUAGGGCGGGACACGUGGUAUCCUGUCUGAAUAUGGGGGGACCAUCCUCCAAGGCUAAAUACUCCUGACUGACCGAUAGUGAACCAGUACCGUGAGGGAAAGGCGAAAAGAACCCCGGCGAGGGGAGUGAAAAAGAACCUGAAACCGUGUACGUACAAGCAGUGGGAGCCUCUUUUAUGGGGUGACUGCGUACCUUUUGUAUAAUGGGUCAGCGACUUAUAUUCUGUAGCAAGGUUAACCGAAUAGGGGAGCCGAAGGGAAACCGAGUCUUAACUGGGCGUUAAGUUGCAGGGUAUAGACCCGAAACCCGGUGAUCUAGCCAUGGGCAGGUUGAAGGUUGGGUAACACUAACUGGAGGACCGAACCGACUAAUGUUGAAAAAUUAGCGGAUGACUUGUGGCUGGGGGUGAAAGGCCAAUCAAACCGGGAGAUAGCUGGUUCUCCCCGAAAGCUAUUUAGGUAGCGCCUCGUGAAUUCAUCUCCGGGGGUAGAGCACUGUUUCGGCAAGGGGGUCAUCCCGACUUACCAACCCGAUGCAAACUGCGAAUACCGGAGAAUGUUAUCACGGGAGACACACGGCGGGUGCUAACGUCCGUCGUGAAGAGGGAAACAACCCAGACCGCCAGCUAAGGUCCCAAAGUCAUGGUUAAGUGGGAAACGAUGUGGGAAGGCCCAGACAGCCAGGAUGUUGGCUUAGAAGCAGCCAUCAUUUAAAGAAAGCGUAAUAGCUCACUGGUCGAGUCGGCCUGCGCGGAAGAUGUAACGGGGCUAAACCAUGCACCGAAGCUGCGGCAGCGACACUAUGUGUUGUUGGGUAGGGGAGCGUUCUGUAAGCCUGUGAAGGUGUGCUGUGAGGCAUGCUGGAGGUAUCAGAAGUGCGAAUGCUGACAUAAGUAACGAUAAAGCGGGUGAAAAGCCCGCUCGCCGGAAGACCAAGGGUUCCUGUCCAACGUUAAUCGGGGCAGGGUGAGUCGACCCCUAAGGCGAGGCCGAAAGGCGUAGUCGAUGGGAAACAGGUUAAUAUUCCUGUACUUGGUGUUACUGCGAAGGGGGGACGGAGAAGGCUAUGUUGGCCGGGCGACGGUUGUCCCGGUUUAAGCGUGUAGGCUGGUUUUCCAGGCAAAUCCGGAAAAUCAAGGCUGAGGCGUGAUGACGAGGCACUACGGUGCUGAAGCAACAAAUGCCCUGCUUCCAGGAAAAGCCUCUAAGCAUCAGGUAACAUCAAAUCGUACCCCAAACCGACACAGGUGGUCAGGUAGAGAAUACCAAGGCGCUUGAGAGAACUCGGGUGAAGGAACUAGGCAAAAUGGUGCCGUAACUUCGGGAGAAGGCACGCUGAUAUGUAGGUGAAGUCCCUCGCGGAUGGAGCUGAAAUCAGUCGAAGAUACCAGCUGGCUGCAACUGUUUAUUAAAAACACAGCACUGUGCAAACACGAAAGUGGACGUAUACGGUGUGACGCCUGCCCGGUGCCGGAAGGUUAAUUGAUGGGGUCAGCGCAAGCGAAGCUCUUGAUCGAAGCCCCGGUAAACGGCGGCCGUAACUAUAACGGUCCUAAGGUAGCGAAAUUCCUUGUCGGGUAAGUUCCGACCUGCACGAAUGGCGUAAUGAUGGCCAGGCUGUCUCCACCCGAGACUCAGUGAAAUUGAACUCGCUGUGAAGAUGCAGUGUACCCGCGGCAAGACGGAAAGACCCCGUGAACCUUUACUAUAGCUUGACACUGAACAUUGAGCCUUGAUGUGUAGGAUAGGUGGGAGGCUUUGAAGUGUGGACGCCAGUCUGCAUGGAGCCGACCUUGAAAUACCACCCUUUAAUGUUUGAUGUUCUAACGUUGACCCGUGAUCCGGGUUGCGGACAGUGUCUGGUGGGUAGUUUGACUGGGGCGGUCUCCUCCUAAAGAGUAACGGAGGAGCACGAAGGUUGGCUAAUCCUGGUCGGACAUCAGGAGGUUAGUGCAAUGGCAUAAGCCAGCUUGACUGCGAGCGUGACGGCGCGAGCAGGUGCGAAAGCAGGUCAUAGUGAUCCGGUGGUUCUGAAUGGAAGGGCCAUCGCUCAACGGAUAAAAGGUACUCCGGGGAUAACAGGCUGAUACCGCCCAAGAGUUCAUAUCGACGGCGGUGUUUGGCACCUCGAUGUCGGCUCAUCACAUCCUGGGGCUGAAGUAGGUCCCAAGGGUAUGGCUGUUCGCCAUUUAAAGUGGUACGCGAGCUGGGUUUAGAACGUCGUGAGACAGUUCGGUCCCUAUCUGCCGUGGGCGCUGGAGAACUGAGGGGGGCUGCUCCUAGUACGAGAGGACCGGAGUGGACGCAUCACUGGUGUUCGGGUUGUCAUGCCAAUGGCACUGCCCGGUAGCUAAAUGCGGAAGAGAUAAGUGCUGAAAGCAUCUAAGCACGAAACUUGCCCCGAGAUGAGUUCUCCCUGACCCUUUAAGGGUCCUGAAGGAACGUUGAAGACGACGACGUUGAUAGGCCGGGUGUGUAAGCGCAGCGAUGCGUUGAGCUAACCGGUACUAAUGAACCGUGAGGCUUAACCUU